RNAcentral lists this ribosomal RNA (373 nucleotides) under uncultured bacterium. Its description in RNAcentral is "bacterial SSU rRNA". It matches the Rfam family "Bacterial small subunit ribosomal RNA", at positions 917 to 1291 of the family's 1533-position model. The record is from RNAcentral.
GGACCCGCACAAGCGGUGGAGCAUGUGGUUUAAUUCGAUGCAACGCGAAAAACCUUACCUACUCUUGACAUACUUGGGAGCUCUUGUAAUGAGAGUGUGCCUUUUGGAACCAAGAUACAGGUGCUGCAUGGCUGUCGUCAGCUCGUGUCGUGAGAUGUUCCGUUAAGUCGGAUAACGAGCGCAACCCUGCCCUUAUUUUGCCAGCGUGUUAUGACGGGAACUAUAAGGGGACUGCCGGUGAUAAACCGGAGGAAGGUGAGGACGACGUCAAGUCAUCAUGGCCCUUACGAGUAGGGCUACACACGUGCUACAAUGGGGAAUACAGACGGACGCUAAGCCGCGAGGUGGUGCUAAUCUAGAAAGUUUCUCGUAG